Molecule: ribosomal RNA, 486 nt
Filed under: uncultured bacterium
Lineage: Bacteria
Description: partial 16S ribosomal RNA
Rfam family: Bacterial small subunit ribosomal RNA
Source: RNAcentral
GAUGAACGCUGGCGGCGUGCCUAAUACAUGCAAGUCGAACGCUGGAGAUCUAGCUUGCUAGAUCGAAGGAGUGGCGAACGGGUGAGUAAUACAUAAGCAACCUACCCACGAAGACUGGGAUAAUCUCUGGAAACGGGGACUAAUACCGGAUAGGUAAUCGGAAGGCAUUUUCUGGUUAUUAAAGGUUAAAAACACUGGUGGAUGGGCUUAUGGCGCAUUAGUUAGUUGGUGAGGUAACGGCCCACCAAGACGAUGAUGCGUAGCCGGCCGGAGAGGGUGAACGGCCACAUUGGGACUGAGACACGGCCCAGACGCCUACGGGAGGCAGCAGUAGGGAAGUUUCGGCAAUGGGGGCAACCCUGACCGAGCAACGCCGCGUGAGUGAAGACGGCCUUCGGGUUGUAAAGCUCUGUUGUAAGGGAAGAACGGUAGAUAGAGAAUAUCUAAGUGACGGUACCUUACCAGAAAGCCACGGCUAACUACGUG